Molecule: transfer RNA, 76 nt
Filed under: Planctomycetota bacterium
Lineage: Bacteria; Pseudomonadati; Planctomycetota
Description: tRNA-Met
Rfam family: tRNA
About the family: Transfer RNA (tRNA) molecules are approximately 80 nucleotides in length. Their secondary structure includes four short double-helical elements and three loops (D, anti-codon, and T loops).
Source: RNAcentral
GGGCCCGUAGCUCAGCGGUUAGAGCAGGGGACUCAUAAUCCCUGGGUCGGGGGUUCGAAUCCCUCCGGGCCUACUA